CAUUUCCUUGUCUGUUCUUCUGUAGGAGAAAAGUCCUUUCAGUGAUGGGAUAAAAUGUCAGAAGAAAAUGUUUCGCCAUAAGCCGUCUGUGUGUGACCUGAAGGCAAGUGACAAACAGAUUCUGACUCUAGAGAGAGUGACGUUGGCUGUAGAUGUGCUGACAAACAUGACUGAAUCUCCACUGAGUGAAUUUGUUUCCCAACCGCUUGAGUUUUUCCGGAGCCUGGAAGAUGAUCUGAAGCACUGUGUAAGUUCAAAUAGUCAAUAUGAUCAGUAACCGUCCCCAUAGGCAAUUGUUUUCUAUCGACCCAAGCCUGUCGGACAAGAUGGAUGUACAGUGUCAAUGCUCUGUAUUACGCACACUCAUUAUAAUCUGCUAGAAACUGGGGCUUAUGCAUGGAAUACUGUCUCUACUGAUGUAAAAUGCAGGUAUUCAAUGUAACUGUCUCCUACAGAUAUAUCAACCCUUUAUUUUCUUACAAUCUCUAUUUUCCAUUCCAGAGAAAGUCUCCAUAUUACAGUGAUUCUCCCUCCCAAAAGCUGAUGCCUUGGCUGAACCAUCUCAAGCAUUUCAGAGAAAGGGUUUCCGCUCAGUGUGUCCAGGAUGCCGUGUUGCUCAGCCUAAUCCAGUUGCUAAUUGAAGAUGUGAUGUGUUGGGCUAAUAAGGAAUAAUGCCCGCUCUCUCCAGGAGCAGAGUCAAUCAAAUCCAUAAGGAGAGAUUAUCCCACAAGCUUUCCUCACAUUGAGUGUGGGCAGAGCCCAGCUUCUUACACCUCUACCUGCUAUUAUUGUGGGAAUCGGACUGAAUCAACCUACACUUAUUAAAUGAGAAGCUGCUUGUUUCAAGGCAUUCUCUAUAUUUAA
Long non-coding RNA from Xenopus laevis (African clawed frog), 864 nucleotides. RefSeq lists it as uncharacterized. NCBI's taxonomy places the organism in Eukaryota, Metazoa, Chordata, Amphibia, Anura, Pipidae. The record is from RefSeq and is marked validated. The transcript has 3 exons.